Molecule: non-coding RNA, 80 nt
Organism: Schistosoma curassoni
Lineage: Eukaryota; Metazoa; Platyhelminthes; Trematoda; Strigeidida; Schistosomatidae
Source: Rfam
ACGACCCCCUGGAGUCGUGUCAGGAUUUCAUCAGACACCAAACCACCAGAGCUGAUGAAACUUAUAAGUUAAGUGGUCGA